RNAcentral lists this long non-coding RNA (5785 nucleotides) under Apis mellifera (honey bee). Its description in RNAcentral is "uncharacterized LOC100579059, transcript variant X3". Lineage: Eukaryota; Metazoa; Arthropoda; Insecta; Hymenoptera; Apidae. The record is from RNAcentral.
AAGAUUCGAAGAAGGUGGCGCGUGUUAUUGUGCACAACGGCGUGUAAUACGUGCUUGAACGAAGAGGUUAUUUUCGUUCCCUUUUAUAUUUUAUCUUUGUUCCAAUUUAAAUUAACUGUUCGUUCAUGAAUAUUCGGGUUUGGGUGGAUAAGUGGAUGGAAAGGGAGAGUGAUUUUUUUUCUCUUUCGGAUGAUUUGUUUUUUUAAUUCGAAAAAGUUGUUUCUAAUUUUAAAGGAGAUAUAACCCGGUUUAAUAAAACUUUAUAAACGGGACACACGCAUCAAAUGGUUUACGAUAUUUGGAUGUCCUUCAAGUCACCUUAAGAAUUUUCAUCAACGAUAAAUUCAUUCGAUGUUCAAGCUAUUUUUGCACGUUAUUUGAUUUUUCGAUGAAAUUAUUUUUUUAAUUCAAAUUUUCUUUUAUCGUGAUAUGAAUUCUUGUCUUUAUGGAAACAAGUAUAGAGAGUUUUGUAAGACUUGUAGAUGUAAGUACAAAUUAUAAAUUCAAUUUAUCAAACAUCUCGUUUACCAACGUGUUUAAUCAGUUAAAAAACUUAGGAAUUAUUAUUAGAAAUUAUAACUAAUCUACGAGAGUGCUGUUAAUAAUACAAAUAAUACGAUCAUAUCAUGGGUUAAACGCCUCUAUGCAAACAUGAGUCAACGUGAUUAAUCAUAAAAUACGAGGAAACCAUCCGUAACGUUAUUAUUAUUAUUAUUAAUGAAAACUGAAAACAACAUAUUUAUAGAGUGGAAUUCCUUUAAAACAUUCUUUCGUAUUGCGAAUUAAUUAUUGAAAUUGGAAAUGUAAAAAUUUCAAUGAAUUGAAAAGAAGUAUUUUGCCAAAAAUUUGAAUUAAUUCGAUUGAUACAAUUAUUUGAGAGUAAUAAUUAGUGAGAAAUAAAAUGAUAUAUUGUUUAGAUAAUCAUUAUCUCAAAUAUUUGAUUAUUCAAAUAAUGCGUAAUACACACGUAUAUAAUUUCAAUAAUUAUUAUAUAUUAACUCAAACAUUUGUACAAUAUUCAAAUAUUUAAACAAUAUCCAAUCUUCAAAUAUUCUCGAAACUACUAAUCACAACUUUAUAUUACCACUUAUCUCCUUCCAAUGUUCUAUAAUUAACAUAUCUAAUUAUUCUAAUUAUUCUAAAUAAUCUCCAUUUUUUCGAAAAAAAACUGAUUAUACAUUUUUUUAACGAUUAUUUAUCAAUUCCUGGAAGGAAAAAUUAUAAAUAGCAAUUUAUAAAAAAGUGAAGUCAAUGAAUCAAGUCUCUUCUGGAACAUAGUUCUCCUCUAGAGUAACGACACUCAACUUUAUCAACGAGUUUGUAAAAAAAGAAAUAUAAAAAAAAAAAAAAAAAUCGUUGAACUAGGACGACAAAAAUAACAAAGCCGAAUCACGAGGAUUAAAUUCCAUUUUCAUGACUGUGCGCCCAAGCUAUUUAUCAACAGAGGAAAAACGAGGGAAUCGCGGGAGCAGAUGGUGGCGCCACUAUUAAUAAAAAUAAUACAUAACCUACGUGUCGCGAAACAACCUCGUGAUCGUCGUGAACGCGAAAAACAGUGGGGUAUUAACACCAGUUUAUGUAAACGGGAAAGAGACAAGAGAGUUUCGAAAAUAGUCGUUCGCGACCCACCACCGCGUACGCAUUUAGACGGCCGCGCUAAACUUAGAUUGUUUUCUGAACAAACGGGUUAAGAGGGGGCCCGGAGAAGUGUAUGACACGAUGGAAAAUGCUUGGAAAGAAACACGUUUAUACGGAGCGGCUCGAUUAACCGGAACACCCUUUUACGAACGAUUGUACAUAUUGCAUUGAUCGUUCGAUGAAAACUUGAUAAUCUCUGGAAACAGCUACAACGUCGAGGAAAUUUAUCUUACGUAACAAAAGGAAUUACGUAGGACAGUUGAGGAAGAGGAGGAGGGAUAUACGGAACACGUGUCUUGGAUGGAGAGGCUCGUAAGAGGGCAUGAGCAUUGAAAGCGUUCACAGCGAACAAAUGGAAGCUUGGAUACUUAACUGGAGGAAACCGUAGUAUUACACUACUUGGUGACAUUUUAGCUGGUAUAAAACCAGAGAUCGUAAUGCUUCAAGAGAAAUUGAAAAAAAAGAAAGGAAAAAGAAUGUGCAAAAACCUGUAUCUUACUAGUAUCUCCUCUGUUUUUAUAUUUGUUCUUAUGUUUUCUUGUGUUUUCAGAGAUACAUAUUAUGGAUAGAUGAGAUGAGACAAUUUCACUCCAUUAUGGAUAUGAUCUUGAGAUCAGAAUUCGAGGAGGAUAAUCUUGAAAUGAAAAGAGUCUGAAUUGGAGAUAGAUUCAAAGUGGAGGAAAUUUUGUUUGAAAUGAUUUGAAAGAAAAAAAAGUUAUUAGGAUAGUCUAUGCGUGAAAUAUUGAUAAUUGUAGGAUUAAAAAAUUUCACUUAGAAAUGAGCUGGAGCUCUCCUUUCAAAAUUGAAGAUCAAUGGAUCUUGGAAUUAAUGGAUCCUAUAAAAAAUGAUUCUCUAAGAUAACUUGAAAAAAUAAAUCUAUUUGGAUCUAAGAAAUUUGGUUCCAAAGUGGAGGGAUUCUUGUUAAAUAAAUGCUAUGAAGAAUUGAUCACAAAAUUAACACAUUCCUGUUCAGAUGAUGUUUAAAUUUAUGAAUUGUUAUGGAUUCUAGAAUCGAGAAUCUCGAUUGAAGUGAAUCAAACAAUAAGGAUUUCUAUAAAUUAUUAUAUAUUAUUAUCAGUAUUAUUAAUUCAUUGAUAAUGGACCAUAUGGACAGUUAUGGAGGAAGAUAUAUUUCUGGAAAAUCCCUAUUAUGACUCUUAUCCAUUAAACGCAAGUGAGAAUACACGUUAGAAAAACUUAAUUGAUCGAGCAGUUUCAAACGUGUUACUAAUUACCACUAUUUACAUGAUAAUUAAGCUCGCGCUAAUAGAAGAGAAAUACGAUAAUCGAUCGUUCUACACUGUCAACCGUGAUACCAUGAGGAAAUAAAAUAUUUCUUGGAACGAAAUGAAACAAGUUUCGAUUACGAGUAUCACGUUCAUAACGUUUGGAAAAAAUAUUUUGUUCGCAUAAAAGGAAAAGAAUCGAGACCUUUUAGAAACAGUUAAAUUAAUAAUUCUAUUUUCAAAGAAAUGUAAUAUUCGACGAGGCUCAAAUUUUCUUCCUCAGAAUAUCGUCUAAUUGUUAAAUAUUCAAUUGUUAGAAAAAGAAGAAAAAAAAUAUAUACAUCUUUUUGCAUCAAUUUUCUCUUCAUCAAUUUCAAUAUUUUAAGGAUGUUAAUGCGCACCUUAUGCUUGCCUAUUUAAGGCAAUAUACCCAUGCUCAUAUUACGGAUCACUUGCUACGGAUGAUCAGCUGAUCAAUUAAAAUCUGUGGUUGACGACCAAUGAUCCGUGAUACGAGCAUAGAUACCUUAAAUAGGCGACAACCGAUAACGUAUCUGAUGAACUCUGCAAACUCUCUCCAGAUGCACAGCAUACGUUGAAUUAAUUCAAGGAGAAAUUAUAAAUAAUAUGUUUUAAUAUGAAGAGACUUUACAUCAAGUUUUUCUUUUUAAUUUAAUUGUGAUCAUAUUGUUUUACAUUGGAAUAUCUAAUUUGUUAUUUUCAUGAAAUAAUACUGGAUGGAUAUAUAUAUAUUGGUAGAUAUUUUUGGUCCAACAAAUCCAAAAGUUGUGUGCAACAAAACAAUGAUAUUUUAUCUAUUCGUUCAGAAAAUAAUGAGUAUAUUCUCAUUUAAAUGUAUGUGCCAAGUACAUCUGCAAAUUCUAAAUAAACAUUGUUUAACACAUCAUGACAUCCCAAUUACAGUGUUUUCAUGAAUUUAAUUUUCAUCAGUUGAGAACAAUAAUUGUAAAAAAUAUAUACAUAUUUACAUUUAACAUUUCUUUCUCAAAUUAAUAUUUCCAAUUAUUCAGAAUAAAAAUUUCAAUAAGAAAAGAAAUAACGAUGAAAUAAUUCAAUGUUUUGAAUAUUAUAUUAAAGUAUCAUCCAGGCAAAUAUUUCCAUAAGUAUUUCGCAACGAUGCUCUAAAUCAUUAAAUCUAUGGACAAUCAAACUGUUACAGAAAAACCAAUGAAUGAUGGAUUUCGAUAAAUUUAAAGGAAAGCAAUAGAAGGCCAAAUAUUAAGAAGAAAUAGAAGGAAGAAGAAAAAGAAGAAGUAAAAAUAUAUAUAUAAAAGAGAAAAGUAGCGAUGCUGGUCUCGUUAAGACGCUUCAAGAUGGUACUUCCCCCAUUUCCUCCUCAUCUCAUGAUUCGCUAUCAAAGCCGCCAUCUUGAAAGCACUUUAAAUCAAUUUAUUAGCUUCGUUUUUAAUCACCCUCCCCGUUUCGAACUGUCCACGAUAAGGAGGAGGAGGAGGAGAAGACACUGGGGUAGAGGUGAAAGAGGACGAACGAAAGAAAUUACCGAGGAGUCGAUCGUGGAAAUAUUUUUCCUCCAAUGGCGAUCUCUCGCUUCGCCUUCAUCAUCCCUUGCAUCUUGAUUAAACAAUCCUACGGCAUUCCGCCAUGCUUGUUCCACUCGAAAUUACCCUCUCAGAUUAUAUUCCAACUAUUCACGUUAUUUCGACGACAACCAGCCUCGCCAAUCAACCGAUUCUUGAAAGAGGAAUGGAAAUAUGGGGAGCCUGCUUUGGAUAACGAUUAAUGUGCGAAUUCCACUUCAUAUAAGUGAGACUUAGAGAAGAUGAAGAUUCUGAUUGAUUUUUAAAUUAUUAAAUGGAAAUUAAAGGAUAUAGUGUUUUUUAAUUAUUGAAAUGAAUUUUUGAAGGGGAAUGUGGAAAUGUGCAGCUCUCCUUUGGAUGAUUAAUGAGAAUUCCUCCACAACCUCUAAGUGAGAUUUAUCAGAGAAGAUGAAGAUUCUGAUUGAUUUGUCAUUUUAAAUUAUUAAAUGGGGAUUAAAGGAUACAAUGUUUUUAAAGUAUUGAAAUAAAUUUUUGAAGGGAGAUUAUUAAUGAGAAUUCCUCCACACUCUAUUGAAAUUAAUCUUAAAAGAUGAAGAUUUUGAUUUGUUAUUUUAAAUUAUUAAAUUGAAAUUAAAAAGUACAAUGUUUUUGAACUAAUGAAAUAAAUUUUUAAAAGGGGAUUAUUAAUGAGAAUUCCUCCACAUCCUAUAAUUGGGAUUAAUCUUAAAAGAUGAAGAUUCUGAUUUGUCAUUUUAAAUUAUUAAAUUGAAAUUAAAGAAUAUAAUGUUUUUGAACCAUUAAAAUGAAUUUUUGAAGGGGGAUUAUUAAUGAGAAUUCCUCCACAUCCUAUAAUUGGGAUUAAUCUUAAAAGAUGAAGAUUCUGAUUUGUUAUUUUAAAUUAUUAAAUUGAAAUUAAAGAAUAUAAUGUUUUUGAACUAUUAAAAUGAAUUUUUGAAGGGGGAUGUGGAAAUGUUCAGCUCUCCUUUAGAUGAUUAAUGAGAAUUCCUCCACAUUCUAUAAAUAGGAUUUAUCAGAGAAGAUGAAGAUUUUGAUUGAUUUGUUAUUUUAAAUUAUUAAAUGGAGAUUAAAGAAUACAGUGUUUUUAAACUAUUGAAAUGAAUUUUUGAAGGGGGAUGUGGAAAUAUUCAGCUCUCCUUUGGAUGAUUAAUGAGAAUUCCUCCACACCCUAUAAUUGAGAUUGAUCUUAAAAGAUUCUGAUUGAUUUUAAAUUAUUAAAUACAAUAUUUUUGAACUAUUGAAAUGAAUUUUUGAAGGGGGAUGUGGAAAUAUUCAGCUCUGCUUUUAAUGAUUGCUGGAUAGUCCAUGAAUUUAUUGAAAGAAUAGAGAUUGUGAUUGAUUAGAAUUUGUCAUUUUGAAUUAAUAAAUUGGAAUUGAAAAAUA